This 497-nucleotide ribosomal RNA is filed under the name uncultured bacterium. Its description in RNAcentral is "partial 16S ribosomal RNA". It matches the Rfam family "Bacterial small subunit ribosomal RNA", at positions 28 to 507 of the family's 1533-position model. The record is from RNAcentral.
GAUGAACGCUGGCGGCGUGCCUAAUACAUGCAAGUCGAGCGAACAGACGAGGAGCUUGCUCCUCUGACGUUAGCGGCGGACGGGUGAGUAACACGUGGAUAACCUACCUAUAAGACUGGGAUAACUUCGGGAAACCGGAGCUAAUACCGGAUAAUAUAUUGAACCGCAUGGUUCAAUAGUGAAAGACGGUUUUGCUGUCACUUAUAGAUGGAUCCGCGCCGCAUUAGCUAGUUGGUAAGGUAACGGCUUACCAAGGCAACGAUUCGUAGCCGACCUGAGAGGGUGAUCGGCCACACUGGAACUGAGACACGGUCCAGACUCCUACGGGAGGCAGCAGUAGGGAAUCUUCCGCAAUGGGCGAAAGCUUGACGGAGCAACGCCGCGUGAGUGAUGAAGGUCUUCGGAUCGUAAAACUCUGUUAUUAGGGAAGAACAAAUGUGUAAGUAACUAUGCACGUCUUGACGGCACCUAAUCAGAAAGCCACGGCUAACUACGUG